GAACGACUCUCGGCAACGGAUAUCUCGGCUCUCGCAUCGAUGAAGAACGUAGCGAAAUGCGAUACUUGGUGUGAAUUGCAGAAUCCCGUGAACCAUCGAGUCUUUGAACGCAAGUUGCGCCCGAAGCCUUCUGGCCGAGGGCACGUCUGUCUGGGCGUCACGCA
This 164-nucleotide ribosomal RNA is filed under the name Rumex hypogaeus. RNAcentral describes it as "5.8S ribosomal RNA". It matches the Rfam family "5.8S ribosomal RNA". From Rfam's summary of the family: 5.8S ribosomal RNA (5.8S rRNA) is a component of the large subunit of the eukaryotic ribosome. It is transcribed by RNA polymerase I as part of the 45S precursor that also contains 18S and 28S rRNA. Functionally, it is thought that 5.8S rRNA may be involved in ribosome translocation. Lineage: Eukaryota; Viridiplantae; Streptophyta; Magnoliopsida; Caryophyllales; Polygonaceae. The record is from RNAcentral.